This 20-nucleotide unclassified non-coding RNA is filed under the name Chlamydomonas reinhardtii. Its description in RNAcentral is "small RNA Cre_3848". Lineage: Eukaryota; Viridiplantae; Chlorophyta; Chlorophyceae; Chlamydomonadales; Chlamydomonadaceae. The record is from RNAcentral.
UUCUGAGAACAAACUUCCGA